RNAcentral lists this ribosomal RNA (372 nucleotides) under uncultured bacterium. Its description in RNAcentral is "bacterial SSU rRNA". It matches the Rfam family "Bacterial small subunit ribosomal RNA", at positions 524 to 898 of the family's 1533-position model. The record is from RNAcentral.
UACGGAGGGGGCGAGCGUUGUCCGGAAUUAUUGGGCGUAAAGGGCGCGCAGGCGGGCUGAUCAGUCAGUGGCGAAAGUUCACGGCUUAACCGUGAAAUUGCCUUUGAUACUGUCAGUCUUGAGUUCGGAAGAGGAAAGUGGAAUUCCUGGUGUAGCGGUGAAAUGCGUAGAUAUCAGGAAGAACACCGGUGGCGAAGGCGGCUUUCUGGUCCGAAACUGACGCUGAGGCGCGAAAGUGUGGGUAGCGAACAGGAUUAGAUACCCUGGUAGUCCACACAGUAAACGAUGGAUACUAGGUGUUGGGUGGUAACGUUCAGCGCCGGAGCAAACGCAUUAAGUAUCCCGCCUGGGGAAUACGAUCGCAAGAUUGAA